UUUAAAGUAACAUAAAAAUCUUAGAUGUAUUGAUUUUUAUUCAAUGCAAACUAGUCCAUUUUGAGUCAUGGUUGGUUCUAAAUGUGAGCACCGAUCAAUGUCGUAGAGUGUAUCCAUUGUUAACAUAAUUACUAAAAAUCUAAAACACAUAUCAUAAAACAAAAUUUCAAUCUCCAUUAAGAAGGAACAAGAAUCACAGGAAGAUCCGCCUCCUUGGCCUCAUACAAUCCGCUGAGUGUGUAGCCAUGGACACUUGGUCAAUGCCAGUCAACUCGACCUGGACAGCCGAGUGUAAUCUCCGUUUGGCUUGUCUUCUCAGCACAUGGCAACUUACUUCCUCGAUGCCAUUUCAGCUCAUAUCACCGGCUCCUACCCGGACACCUACUCCCCUCUCACCACGCUCAUCAAAACCUACCAUCAGAAGCUCCUCAACGCCUCCAAUCUUCAACUCCGUCACCUUUUUAAUCAAAUUCUCACAUUUCACAGCCAGUCAAGCCAUUCAACAGGCCCUUGAACAUGCUGAUCAUGUCCACAUCAUUGACCAUGACAUUGUGCAGGGCAUCCAAUGGCUGGGAUUGUUCAAUAUCCUCGACUGCAAAUUGCAAAAAAUCAAGUUCAUUCUAAUCACCAGCAUUAGACCCUCCAUGAGACUAUUGAACUCAACGUGCCAGCUUUANUUC
This 680-nucleotide long non-coding RNA is filed under the name Olea europaea subsp. europaea. The record is from RNAcentral. Lineage: Eukaryota; Viridiplantae; Streptophyta; Magnoliopsida; Lamiales; Oleaceae.